AUGUGUUGUUUUCUCUUCAUAAAGGCAAAGAAGGACUCUUUCAUUUUUGUCUUUGUAUCUCCAAUGCCUGAAGCUGGCCCCAUAGCAGGCUUGUGGAUAAAAAACAGGCCUUCAGAGUUUGAAGACAGACGGCUGUCCCUUCUUUUCUCUGGAAAGCCUGGAGAGGCUCCUCUUCAGGGAGGAGAUGACCAGAAGAAGGGAACAAGCAUUUAAGCACUCUGCUAAAAGGUUGAAAGAAUCUUGAAACCAUUGACAAUUCAGAGUUCCUUAUUAAAAUAUAGAUAUCUUCAUUGCAAGAAACACAUAAAGAGGUCAUCUGGGCAGAGACUCCUGAAGGAAGCAGCCAGCAGAAAGCUUGAUAACUAUUUAAAGGGACACUGAAGGGCAGGAAGGGACCAUUUGGCCAGUGGCUGCCAUGGUUCUGGGGGCUGAUUGAUUCUAUGUCAGUCCUGAUGCAAAAGUCUGACAGAUGGAGCCAGGUAUAUUUGUGUAUCCUAGGCAACUAAGCAUCAUUUAAAGGUGCCGUGUUUCCCCCCACUCACCAGGUUCCAGCUGGUGUGGUGCUGUAUUGGAGGCUUGGAGAUUUUUCUGUGACACAAACAGUUUAAACCAGAUUCAUCAUAAAAUCAAUCUUCCAUAGAAAGUGAUUUCAAGGAACUUGGAAGACUUGGAGGAAGUAGUAAAGUGAGCAGAACCAGGAGAAUAUUACGCAGUAAGAGCAAAAAAGUACAAUGAUCAACUGUGAAUGGCUUAACUAUUAUCAGCAAGGCAAGAAUCCAGGACAACUCCAAGGGACUCAUGAUGGAAAAGGAUAUCUACCAUCAUAGAAGGAACUGAUGGAGUCUGAAUGCAGAUUCAGAAAUGAAAGAAAAUGAAAGCAUACAAUUCUUAAAAAAAAAAAUUACCUGUUGUCUUAGUAUCAAGGGCAAGGGCUAAGCAAAUAGGGUUAAGUGAAUUACCCAGGGUCACACAGCUAAGAAGGGUUGGAGUUAGGAUUUGAACCCAGGUCGUCCCAACUCCAGAAACUGGUGCUCUAACUGUCCCAAAGCAUACCAUUCUUCACUUUAUUUCCUCCAUGGAUUUUGCUCUAGUAUAAUUGAUUUUGUGUCUUUUUCACAUGAUAAACGUGGAAUUAUAUGACAACACAGGGUACAAUCUACAUCGUAUUACCUGCCAUCUCAAGAUGGAGCAAAGGGGUGGGAGGAAGGGAGAGGACAUGGAUUGCAAAAUGUCAGAAAAGGAUUAUUAAGAUUGUGUCGACAUGUAAUCUGAAAAAAUAAAAACAAAAUCAAACAAAACA
This 1300-nucleotide long non-coding RNA is filed under the name Monodelphis domestica (gray short-tailed opossum). RNAcentral describes it as "lncRNA (ENSMODG00000044637.1)". The record is from RNAcentral. Lineage: Eukaryota; Metazoa; Chordata; Mammalia; Didelphimorphia; Didelphidae.